This 270-nucleotide ribosomal RNA is filed under the name uncultured bacterium. Its description in RNAcentral is "partial 16S ribosomal RNA". It matches the Rfam family "Bacterial small subunit ribosomal RNA", at positions 87 to 354 of the family's 1533-position model. The record is from RNAcentral.
CCCGGCGACCGGCGCACGGGUGAGCAACACGUAUGCAACCUGGCCGCCACAGGGGGAUAACCCGCGGAAACGCGGCCUAAUACCCCGUGACGCCACCGGAGGGCAUCCUCCGGUGGCCAAAGGAGCGAUCCGGUGGCGGAUGGGCAUGCGGCGCAUUAGCUAGACGGCGGGGUGACGGCCCACCGUGGCGACGAUGCGUAGGGGUUCUGAGAGGAAGGCCCCCCCACACUGGGACUGAGACACGGCCCAGACUCCUACGGGAGGCAGCAG